AUUAGAGCAAAGAACAUAACAAUGUAGAAAAUAGUCCAUGAGCUAAGUGUGGAAAGACUGCACAGUGAAAAAAAAAAAUGGAAAAGAGGGAAAAAUACAGAAAACUGCCUUUGGAAAUUAAAUGAGCAAACAAAGUGAGGCAGUGCACUAUGCAUAGUGAGCAUGUCUAGGUAACACUAUAAUGCAAAACUCCCAGGUGAAAAACGUGUUGUGUGUAUUUGAAAGAACCAAGUGCAAAUUGCAAAAAUCUGCCCAAUAUUUUACCACUAAACUGCACAAACACUCACACACACCCAACUCUAAGACCUUCGACCCUCCUAAUUCUAUCGCCACUCCUUACACAACUCACCAUCACAGGCCACAAACAACCAGGUUCUAUGUAAUUUAAAAGUAAUUGGGAAGAAACCAAGUGAAAAUGAGGCAAAAAGGAGCAAAAACGAAGAAAAGAAAAAACUGGCUAGAAGUGCAAAAAAAGGCCAGUUUUGCAAUUUCGAAGAUUUGAAAUUAUGAGGACUGUUUUUUUCAUUUUUUGAGUGAGGAAAUGGGG
This is a long non-coding RNA of Lycium ferocissimum, 547 nucleotides long. RefSeq lists it as uncharacterized. The transcript is spliced from 2 exons. Lineage: Eukaryota; Viridiplantae; Streptophyta; Magnoliopsida; Solanales; Solanaceae. The record is from RefSeq and is a predicted model, not a curated record.